This 387-nucleotide ribosomal RNA is filed under the name uncultured prokaryote. RNAcentral describes it as "bacterial SSU rRNA". It matches the Rfam family "Bacterial small subunit ribosomal RNA", at positions 355 to 757 of the family's 1533-position model. The record is from RNAcentral.
UGGGGAAUCUUGGACAAUGGGGGAAACCCUGAUCCAGCCAUACCGCGUGAGGGAGGACGGCUUUUGGGUUGUAAACCUCUUUUCUCAAGGAAGAAGCACUGACGGUACAUGAGGAAUCAGCAUCGGCUAACUCCGAGCCAGCAGCCGCGGUAAUACGGAGGAUGCAAGCGUUAUUCGGAAUUAUUGGGCGUAAAGCGUCCGCAGGUGGUGCCUCAAGUCUGCUGUCAAAGACCGAAGCUCAACUUCGGGCAGGCAGUGGAAACUGAAGCACUAGAGUACGGUAGGGGUAGAGGGAAUUUCCAGUGUAGCGGUGAAAUGCGUAGAGAUUGGAAAGAACACCAGUGGCGAAGGCGCUCUACUGGACCGUAACUGACACUCAGGGACGAA